CCGGGGCUUCUUCUCCGGCUACCGUCAUCAUCUUCACCGGUGAAAGAGCUUUACAACCCUAAGGCCUUCUUCACUCACGCGGCAUGGCUGGAUCAGGCUUGCGCCCAUUGUCCAAUAUUCCCCA
RNAcentral lists this ribosomal RNA (124 nucleotides) under uncultured bacterium. Its description in RNAcentral is "partial 16S ribosomal RNA". The record is from RNAcentral.